Molecule: long non-coding RNA, 4007 nt
Filed under: Macaca fascicularis (crab-eating macaque)
Lineage: Eukaryota; Metazoa; Chordata; Mammalia; Primates; Cercopithecidae
Description: lncRNA (ENSMFAG00000051437.1)
Source: RNAcentral
GGAUGAAAUGAAGUGCCUUGUGUCCGCAUGGGUCCUCCAGCAUUGGAAUGCACUAGCCAACUGGCAUUGAGCACUUCUGUCUCACUUUCCAGCUGCAUUUUUAGUCGCUGUUCUGAGACCGGUCUCAGUACCAUUUUGUAGCUAAGGAAACAGAUGCAGCCAUUGUGAAACUUCAAGCCACAUUAUUAUAGUGAAAAGAGACAAAAAAAUAGGUCAUCACUGGGUGUUUUGGAACAUUUGAAUAAUCAAGCUAAAUGGAUUAAAUUAACUAUCAAGUAAAAUCUUCUUUGAAAAAUCAGUUACCAAUAUAGCAGGAAAUAAUAUUAUUCUGAAUUCCAUGCCUCAUAUGGAUCCAAAUAUUUGUAAAUCUAGUCAUUAUUAAUUCUAUCAAUAAUACUUUUUUUUUUGGACUUUCAAAUAAAUUUUCCAGGAGGAAGUUAAAUCCAUUCCUGGGUGAGCUUAAGUUGAUCCAUGCAAAAUCUAUUCCUUGGCACCAGGCUUCUAGAAUAGGUCCAGGGACUCCAUAUUUUUAUUUGCUCAAUGUUUCUUAUUUGAAGGGAAGCUUGAAUAGUACAGCUACAGAUUUUCACAUCUAAUUUUCACCAAAAUUCAGAUGAGUAUUGCCAUGCCUCACUUACCCUAAAAAUAACAAAUUUGUCAUUCUGUUACCAGCAGAAUUAAGUGUGUGGCCCAUGUUUCCAUGGUUGGAACAAGGACUCCAAGAGGAAGCAUCUAUUUUUCUCACAUCAGAUUGGUGUGGAAGUUAAGGACUUCAAAACAAACUCCCCAAGAAAUGCUAUUAAAGCCACUUCCUCAUGUUUAGACCCUCAGCUGUUGUGGAUCUUAGGAGGGACCCUUCCACAAACUUGUCUUCUCCUUUGAUAUUUUAGCCUCUUAAUAAUUUUAAGUCAACCAUCCAUAGCUGACAGUUUUGCUGAUAAAGUACCUUUAUAAUGACAGACUUGGUGUUUAAAUUUCCGCCUACGUCUUCUCUAAGUUGGUGACCUAAUUGUAGCUGACGCUUCCAGUAGAAAUACUCACUCGGUAACCUCAAGCUAUUUCUGGGCACAGCUGAAAUAAAGCGAAUUGCUUUUUAAGCUGAUGAUUCCAGGUUCUGUGUCUUAUUUUCCAUUUCUUCUUGUCCAUUUUUCCAUGUAAGUUUUAUCUGCUACCUAUAAACCAUGAAAAACAAAUUAUUCCAUUCAAAUCUUUGGAAACGGCUGCUCACUGGCACACAAUCACAGUGUCUGAUAGUUUUUCUGGUUUUGAAUUUCUGGAAGGGGAAUCCUCCUCGUGAGGAGACUUCACUUUCCAUCAGUAAUGGGGAAAACUGUUUCCCUCGGGAUAGCGGAGGUCGUUUUAAAAGAGAAAACUCAGCGGAAAUGAAAAUCCAAGCAACUGAUUUUUAAUUCAUGUCUUUUUGUUCAGUGAUGUUGGUCCUCAUUCUGCCUAUGAGAUGGGAAUAAAGAGAGAUUUCGGGAAAAGUGUGAGGCCAAACAUGGCUACUAUUUAAUACCACCCUCAAAAUUUGAAACAAGAUCCAACUCCUCCUGUCUUCACAGGCAGAAUCCCCCAUCCCCAGGCUAUGUAGGGCCUGAUAAAUGUGGGGUGACCCAUGCUGGCCUGGCUGAUGCCCACUGGCCUGCGUUGGUGAAUACGUUGUGUGGUCUCUUCCUUGGUGUGAUUUUCCCUGGGUACUUGCAAGAUGCCUUAUUUAGAAAGAAAACAGCAAGGCGAAUGGUUUCAGAGAACUUCAUCCACUGUUUAUAUGAAGAGACUGAGACUCAGAGGGGCUCCACAGCCUGCUCUCCAGUGACAAAGCCAAGACCAAAGUAAUAACAGCGGAUCUUUAUAUAACACUUGCUGUCAAGCCAGGUACUUAGACAUAAGCACUUUAUGUAUAUUGACUCGUUUAAUCCUUCCACCAACCUGCAGGAUAGGUGUUGUUUAAUCCCAUUUUAUAGCAAGUAGCUUGCUUUGGGCCAUGCACUAGCAGGGGCAGAGCUGUGCUCUGGGGCACGUGACCUGGCUCUGGAGCCCACUGAGCUGAACCCAGCACCCUCUGCCUGGCGGAGCCAGCUCUCCUGCCUCUUGGUCCUACCCUCUGUUCUCUGCUAGGUUGCUUUGGGACCAAGGGGAGAAAAAAACUUGUUAAUGAAAACGGAGCCCAACAUUUCAAUGCUGGUGUUUUUAUACUACUAUGAACGUCAUCAGAGUGCUAGCUAAUGCACUUACAAACAGAUACGACUUUAAACCAGAUGCGAAAUAGACUUGCCAGAUAAUAUACAGACAUGUCUUUAAGCGAAACAUUGGUACCUUGCUGGUAAAAAGGUACCUCGCUGGUAACAACCAUUCAGAAGGAAAGGCUAUCACAAAAUGAUUAAUAUAGUCCUCCCCAGCCAGAAAGGCUAAAUAGCAGUCUGGUGGUUUUUGUUAGCAUUUGUUUGUGAAGGUCUGCCUGAAUGAGACUGGAAGUCCCUCCAAACCACAUAUGUGCCUAUGUAAUUCUCUUGUAGAGCACCUGAUAAAAUACCUAUGGAAAGAUUUUUUUAAAUAACUAUUGUUUGAUGGCAGUUAUAGAGAGUCCUUGGCAUUGAUCUCUGAGUAGCCAACCUAUGCAAAAAAAAAAAAAAAAAAGCAUUGGUUGUAAAGACUAUGACUUAUAAGAAAGAAUUAUAAGGGUUUAUAGCAUAUAAAGCUUGAGGCAUGUCUUGGAGCAUAUAUCUAUGCACAAAACCAAAUCCAGAAAGAAUCUCUCUUAUUUCAGGGCCUGUGGGUCACAGAUGGUAUUCCAGAACCCAGGCAUGGGAAUAUAUGCAGCAACCUCCAGACUUGACAGUUCCCAAUCAGCUGUGCUUGGCUGGAGCCUUCAGGGCUCAGAGCUGGGGGUGAAAGUGGAAAUUACAAGAGAUCUUUACUCUCUCCAACUCAAGGGACGAUGGUCUGUCUCCUAAGAGCCUACCUGGCCCAGGAUGGGCAAAGAUGCCCGUGUGUGUGUGUGUGUGUGUGUGUGUGUGUGUGUGUGUUUGAGAAGUCUGGCAAGGGAGAGACCCCAAGGUCACCUGAAAAUCUCCUCUUUGCAUCCACGUGGCUUAGGAAAACAUGCGUCAAUAUCAGAAAAAUAAGCCUUCCAGUAGACAGAGGUUUAAACAAUACAACAGCCCACAGUUUAUCAGUAGAACUGGCAGAAACAGCAGACUAUCCCUCAAUUACCCUCUACAGCUGUUCAUAAAUAUUGGACUUUCCUUGCCUUGAUCUGGCUCACAAAAUGAGCAGCAAAUGUUGAAAAGUUUAGUGCUUUUUAACCAGGAAACACACAACUGUGAAAUAUGUGAAGCUGUGGUAGACAAGUUUAAAAAAAAACAAGAACUUUCCAAUAAAGUAAUGGUCUCUCAGUGACAUCUUGUUAUUCCAGUAAAAAUAGAUCCCCUAACUUUGACAGUAUAUUUUUCCUUCUGGGAAAGUACAAAUAAUAACACAUCAAAAUUAUGCUUUUUGUCACAUACCUGAGGACAGUACAGAGGGAAGGAAAGUUUAUUUUUUAUUUGUAAAACAACAUUUCCAUUCAUUUACUCCACAAGCACCACUUAUUUUUGAGUUCUGUAGAAAACUAACCUAGAAUGAGCACCCUCAUACAUAUCAACAGAAAGUAAGUCAUCAUGGCAGAAUUUUUUACAGAUUUCUCAUUGGUCAAAAAGUACUGUUUAUGGGCUGAGCGCGGUGGCUCACGCCUGUAAUCCCAGCACUUUGGGAGGCCGAGGUGUGUGGAUCACAAGGUCAGGAGAUCCAGACCAUCCUGGCUAACACGGUGAAACCCCGUCUCUACUAAAAAUACAAAAAAUUAGCUGGGCGCGGUGGCGGACGCCUGUAGUCCCAGCUACUCGGGAGGCUGAGGCAGGAGAAUGGCAUGAACCUGGGAGGCGGGGCUUGCAGUGAGCCGAGAUCGUGCCACUGCACUCCAGCCUGGGCAACAGAGUGAGACUCCAUCUCAAAAAAAAAAAAAAAAA